AGCAGCCGCGGUAAUUCCAGCUCCAAUAGCGUAUAUUAAAGUUGUUGCAGUUAAAAAGCUCGUAGUUGAAUUUCGGGGUCUGUCCGUCGGUCGGGCUUCACGGUCCGUACUGGUGUGAUGGGUUCCUACCUUCUGAAUAACCGGCAUGCCAUUCAGUUGGUGCGCCGGGGAAGCAGAGCUAUUACCUUGAAAAAAUUAGAGUGCUUAAAGCAGGCUAGUGCUUGAAUAGAUUAGCAUGGAAUAAUAAAAUAGGACGGCAUGGUUCUAUUUUGUUGGUUUCUAGGAUCACCGUAAUGAUUAAUAGGGAUAGUUGGGGGGCAUUAGUAUUCAAUUGUCAGAGGUGAAAUUCUUGGAUUUAUUGAAGACUAACUUCUGCGAAAGCAUUUGCCAAGGAUGUUCUCAUUAAUCAAGAACGAAAGUUAGGGGAUCGAAGACGAUCAGAUACCGUCGUAGUCUUAACCAUAAACUAUGCCGACUAGGGAUCGGACGAUGUUAAUUUUUUAAUGACUCGUUCGGCGCC
This 520-nucleotide ribosomal RNA is filed under the name uncultured Acaulospora. Its description in RNAcentral is "SSU rRNA". It matches the Rfam family "Eukaryotic small subunit ribosomal RNA", at positions 569 to 1087 of the family's 1831-position model. Lineage: Eukaryota; Fungi; Glomeromycota; Glomeromycetes; Diversisporales; Acaulosporaceae. The record is from RNAcentral.